RNAcentral lists this ribosomal RNA (253 nucleotides) under uncultured bacterium. RNAcentral's name for it is "partial 16S ribosomal RNA". It matches the Rfam family "Bacterial small subunit ribosomal RNA", at positions 524 to 776 of the family's 1533-position model. The record is from RNAcentral.
UACGUAGGGGGCUAGCGUUGUCCGGAAUCAUUGGGCGUAAAGAGCGUGUAGGCGGCCAGGUAGGUCUGCUGUGAAAACUCGAGGCUCAACCUCGAGAUGUCGGCGGAAACCAUCUGGCUAGAGUCCGGAAGAGGAAAGUGGAAUUCCUGGUGUAGCGGUGAAAUGCGCAGAUAUCAGGAAGAACACCCGUGGCGAAGGCGGCUUUCUGGGACGGUACUGACGCUGAGGUGCGAAAGCGUGGGGAGCAAACAGG